This 242-nucleotide long non-coding RNA is filed under the name Elaeis guineensis (African oil palm). RNAcentral describes it as "long non-coding RNA (EGUI_LNC028617)". The record is from RNAcentral. Lineage: Eukaryota; Viridiplantae; Streptophyta; Magnoliopsida; Arecales; Arecaceae.
UGUGGUGUUAACCAAAUAGAAGCUAGUUAUGUCUUUUAAGAAUUCUGUAAAUGGUGGUUUUGUUAUCGUAUUUGAAACAUUUAUAAUUAUGAUUUUCUACUAAAUUUCUGAAUUUACAUAUUUGUGUUUGAGAUAUAGAUUUAUUUGUAUUGGUUCAGGAUUCAAAAUUUAGAAUAGAGUGAAUCGACUUGGAUAAGAUAGGGAUGGCGUAAUCCUUGCGAUUUGACAAAGACUCCUCCAUC